UAAAUAGUCAGGCCGGCUUUUGCUGGUCGCCGACUUCUUAGAGGGACUAUCAGCUUUUAGCUGAUGGAAGUUUGAGGCAAUAACAGGUCUGUGAUGCCCUUAGAUGUUCUGGGCCGCACGCGCGCUACACUGACAGAGCCAGCGAGUAUAUAACCUUGGCCGGAAGGUCUG
Molecule: ribosomal RNA, 171 nt
Filed under: Tremellodendropsis sp.
Lineage: Eukaryota; Fungi; Basidiomycota; Agaricomycetes; Tremellodendropsidales; Tremellodendropsidaceae
Description: partial small subunit ribosomal RNA
Rfam family: Eukaryotic small subunit ribosomal RNA
Source: RNAcentral